RNAcentral lists this ribosomal RNA (465 nucleotides) under Vreelandella stevensii. RNAcentral's name for it is "partial 16S ribosomal RNA". It matches the Rfam family "Bacterial small subunit ribosomal RNA", at positions 338 to 795 of the family's 1533-position model. The record is from RNAcentral. Lineage: Bacteria; Pseudomonadati; Pseudomonadota; Gammaproteobacteria; Oceanospirillales; Halomonadaceae.
CCUACGGGGGGCAGCAGUGGGGAAUAUUGGACAAUGGGGGCAACCCUGAUCCAGCCAUGCCGCGUGUGUGAAGAAGGCCCUCGGGUUGUAAAGCACUUUCAGUGAGGAAGAACGCCUGGUGGUUAAUACCCAUCAGGAAAGACAUCACUCACAGAAGAAGCACCGGCUAACUCCGUGCCAGCAGCCGCGGUAAUACGGAGGGUGCGAGCGUUAAUCGGAAUUACUGGGCGUAAAGCGCGCGUAGGUGGCUUGAUAAGCCGGUUGUGAAAGCCCCGGGCUCAACCUGGGAACGGCAUCCGGAACUGCCAAGCUAGAGUGCAGGAGAGGAAGGUAGAAUUCCCGGUGUAGCGGUGAAAUGCGUAGAGAUCGGGAGGAAUACCAGUGGCGAAGGCGGCCUUCUGGACUGACACUGACACUGAGGUGCGAAAGCGUGGGUAGCAAACAGGAUUAGAUACCCUAGUAGUC